AUCAGGUAGGGACACCCGCUGAACUUAAGCAUAUCAAUAAGCGGAGGAAAAGAAAAUAACAAUGAUUCCCCUAGUAACUGCGAGUGAAGAGGGACAAGCUCAAAUUUAAAAUCUGUUAGGUUUUACCUGACCGAGUUGUAAUUUGAAGAGGCGUUUUCAGCGUUUUUGGUCAGCCCAAGUCCUAUUGAAUGAGGCAUCAUGGAGGGUGAUAAUCCCGUCCGGUUGAUCAAUGCGUUUUACGAUACGUCUUCCAAGAGUCAAGUUGUUUGGGAUUGCAGCUUAAAAUGGGAGGUAAAUUUCUCCUAAGGCUAAAUAACGGCGAGAGACCGAUAGCGAACAAGUACCGUGAGGGAAAGAUGAAAAGAACUUUGAAAAGAGAGUCAAACAGUACGUGAAAUUGUUGAAAGGGAAACGAUUGAAGCCAGUCGUACCGGCGGAUAAUCAGCCUUUCGAGUGCGAUUCUGUGGAGCGUGGGGAGCUUAAUCGCCUUCACGUCUUGCAUAUUCGUGCACUUUUGGUGUACUUGUCCGUGUGGUGAGUUAACAUCAAUUCCGGUCGGCAUAAAAUGAUUGGAGGAAUGUAGCUUCGAUCUCGUAUCGUAGUGUUAUAGACUCUGGUAGAUGUGACAAUUGGGAUUGAGGAUUGCAACGGAUACCCUUCGGGGCUACCCGUCUGAUCUCUGAAGGUUGCUUCGGUGCCGAAAGCGUGCUUAUGGUCAUCGAAAGUGAUCAUCAAAAGGUUAGAACAGGUUAAAUUCGUUAAGGAUGUUGACGUAAUGGCUUUAAACGACCCGUCUUGAAACACGGACCAAGGAGUCUAACAUAUAUGCGAGUGUU
RNAcentral lists this ribosomal RNA (836 nucleotides) under uncultured Glomeraceae. RNAcentral's name for it is "eukaryotic LSU rRNA". It matches the Rfam family "Eukaryotic large subunit ribosomal RNA", at positions 10 to 694 of the family's 3401-position model. Lineage: Eukaryota; Fungi; Glomeromycota; Glomeromycetes; Glomerales; Glomeraceae. The record is from RNAcentral.